RNAcentral lists this unclassified non-coding RNA (370 nucleotides) under uncultured bacterium. RNAcentral describes it as "contains 16S-23S intergenic spacer region". The record is from RNAcentral.
UCCGGUUUGUCACCGGCAGUCUCGCGUGAGUCCCCAACUUAAUGCUGGCAACACGCGACAAGGGUUGCGCUCGUUGCGGGACUUAACCCAACAUCUCACGACACGAGCUGACGACAACCAUGCACCACCUGUACACCGCCCUUGCGGACCCCGCAUCUCUACGAGUUUUCGGUGUAUGUCAAGCCUUGGUAAGGUUCUUCGCGUUGCGUCGAAUUAAGCCACAUGAUCCACCGCUUGUGCGGGCCCCCGUCAAUUCCUUUGAGUUUCACCCUUGCGGGCGUACUCCCCAGGUGGAUUACUUAACGCUUUCGCUAAGACGCUGACGGUGUGUCGCCAACAUCGAGUAAUCAUCGUUUACAGCGUGGACUAC